This 66-nucleotide transfer RNA is filed under the name Bombus terrestris (buff-tailed bumblebee). RNAcentral's name for it is "tRNA-Asn". The record is from RNAcentral. Lineage: Eukaryota; Metazoa; Arthropoda; Insecta; Hymenoptera; Apidae.
AAAAUAAUAUUAAAUUUACAAAAAAUUCUUUUAAAAAUAUCAAUAAUCCCCAAAAUUAUUAUUUUA